AAACAGUGUACUGUGGACUGUGC
RNAcentral lists this non-coding RNA (23 nucleotides) under Arabidopsis thaliana (thale cress). Lineage: Eukaryota; Viridiplantae; Streptophyta; Magnoliopsida; Brassicales; Brassicaceae. The record is from RNAcentral.